Haliotis rubra (blacklip abalone) is the source of this 266-nucleotide long non-coding RNA. RefSeq lists it as uncharacterized. The record is from RefSeq and is a predicted model, not a curated record. Lineage: Eukaryota; Metazoa; Mollusca; Gastropoda; Lepetellida; Haliotidae. The transcript has 3 exons.
CCUUCUAACUUCACUCUUGAUAUAGGUCAAGUCAAGUUCAUGUGUCUUUACAUUGUAUGUCCCUUCUAACUUCACUCUUGAUAUAGGUCAAGUCAAGUUCAUGUGUCUAUACAUUGUAUGUCCCUUCUAACUUCACUCUUGAUAUAGGUCAAGUCAAGUUCAUGUGUCUUUACAUUGUAUGUCCCUUCUAACUUCACUCUUGAUAUAGGUCUAUACAUUGUAUGUCCCUUCUAACUUCACUCUUGAUAUAGGUCUAUACAUUGUAU